UGACUCUGUUCUGUCUCUGUUUGUGUGUGUGUAGCUGAUCCGGUGUCAUCAGUCCCGUGGUGGGGCCUGUGGAGAUAAUGCCCAGUCCUACACUGCCACUGUCAUCAGUGCUGCUAAAACAUUGAAGACGGGCCUGACAAUGGUGGGAAAGGUUGUGACCCAGCUCACCGGUACACUGCCAUCAGGGGCAACUGACGAGGAGAGCACUGCCCAUAGUGGCACCCGCCGCAGCCCUCACCAGCCUGGUGUGGUCACCAUCAUAGACACACACUCGGUGGGAGAAGGACAGGUUCUUGUUAGUGAGGAUUCUGAUGGAGAAGGAGUGAUUGCACAUUUUCCAGCACACGAUAAGCCUAUAUCCUGCAUGGCGUUU
Carassius auratus (goldfish) is the source of this 373-nucleotide long non-coding RNA. RefSeq lists it as uncharacterized. NCBI's taxonomy places the organism in Eukaryota, Metazoa, Chordata, Actinopteri, Cypriniformes, Cyprinidae. The transcript has 3 exons. The record is from RefSeq and is a predicted model, not a curated record.